Molecule: ribosomal RNA, 253 nt
Filed under: uncultured bacterium
Lineage: Bacteria
Description: partial 16S ribosomal RNA
Rfam family: Bacterial small subunit ribosomal RNA
Source: RNAcentral
GACGAACCGUGCGAACGUUGUUCGGAAUCACUGGGCUUAAAGGGCGCGUAGGCGGGCGAGCCAGUCCGGGGUGAAAGCCUCCGGCCCAACCGGAGAAGGGCCUUGGAUACUGCUCGUCUUGAGGGAGGUAGGGGCUUGUGGAACUUCCGGUGGAGCGGUGAAAUGCGUUGAUAUCGGAAGGAACGCCGGUGGCGAAAGCGACAAGCUGGCCCUCUUCUGACGCUGAGGCGCGAAAGCUAGGGGAGCAAACGGG